RNAcentral lists this transfer RNA (71 nucleotides) under Heterocephalus glaber (naked mole-rat). It matches the Rfam family "tRNA". Rfam says of the family: Transfer RNA (tRNA) molecules are approximately 80 nucleotides in length. Their secondary structure includes four short double-helical elements and three loops (D, anti-codon, and T loops). Lineage: Eukaryota; Metazoa; Chordata; Mammalia; Rodentia; Bathyergidae. The record is from Rfam by way of RNAcentral.
GAGGAUUUAGCUCAGUGGCACUGCACCUGCCUCACAAGCAGAAGGUCCUGAGUUCAAUCUCAGGUACCACA